RNAcentral lists this transfer RNA (76 nucleotides) under Pseudomonadota bacterium. RNAcentral's name for it is "tRNA-Ala". It matches the Rfam family "tRNA". Rfam says of the family: Transfer RNA (tRNA) molecules are approximately 80 nucleotides in length. Their secondary structure includes four short double-helical elements and three loops (D, anti-codon, and T loops). The record is from RNAcentral. Lineage: Bacteria; Pseudomonadati; Pseudomonadota. RNAcentral also lists the same sequence under 3 other names.
GGGGAUGUAGCUCAGCUGGGAGAGCGCCUCGUUCGCAACGAGGAGGUCACGGGUUCAAGUCCCGUCAUCUCCACCA